RNAcentral lists this ribosomal RNA (465 nucleotides) under uncultured bacterium. RNAcentral's name for it is "partial 16S ribosomal RNA". It matches the Rfam family "Bacterial small subunit ribosomal RNA", at positions 338 to 795 of the family's 1533-position model. The record is from RNAcentral.
CCUACGGGAGGCAGCAGUAGGGAAUCUUCCACAAUGGGCGCAAGCCUGAUGGAGCAACACCGCGUGAGUGAAGAAGGGUUUCGGCUCGGAAAGCUCUGUUGUUGGAGAAGAACGUGCGUGAGAGUAACUGUUCACGCAGUGACGGUAUCCAACCAGAAAGUCACGGCUAACUACGUGCCAGCAGCCGCGGUAAUACGUAGGUGGCAAGCGUUAUCCGGAUUUAUGGGGCGUAAAGCGAGCGCAGGCGGUUGCUUAGGUCUGAUGUGAAAGCCUUCGGCUUAACCGAAGAAGUGCAUCGGAAACCGGGCGACUUGAGUGCAGAAGAGGACAGUGGAACUCCAUGUGUAGCGGUGGAAUGCGUAGAUAUAUGGAAGAACACCAGUGGCGAAGGCGGCUGUCUGGUCUGCAACUGACGCUGAGGCUCGAAAGCAUGGGUAGCGAACAGGAUUAGAUACCCCAGUAGUC